AAAACUGAGAUAGUAACAUGAAUUCAAUCAUUGAAACUCAACGAGGAAAACUAUGAUGACAAAAUAAUUACGUAACUAUGACACUAAAAAAUCAUUUUUCACAUGUAAAUAAUCAACUAAAGAGUAGCAACUCGUAUAUACUUACCAUCCUUGUGUCAUGGUUUACUAGGUUCGUCAUCUUCAUCAUCUAUGUCCCAACUCAAGUCCUCUUCCUCUGCAGCACUCAACCGCUUGCGCAAAUCUAAUCUACUAGUACUUGUCGAGCUACCCAAUUUUUCCCCUUUGCUUUCAUCAAUAUCUUCAAUUUCAUCCCAUCCAAGGUCCUCCUCUGGCAACAAUGACUGGCUUGAAAUCACUGAUACAUCGCUAUCUUUACACGACUUGCCGUUUUCGCCCUUGACAUCCACUGCUGCUGCCUUCUCCUCAAUUUUCUCCAGCUUAUCAUUGCCUUUCUCCAUUUCGUCUUUGAGAUUUUUAUUAUGACCCUUAGAGCUUUCACUGUAAUCACCCUUCUCUGGCUUUAAACUUCCACUAGACUGACCUUCUACCAAAGACACAUUGCUCUUAUCGUCCCCCUCGUUGUCUUCACCAUCAAAGUCCCAGGUCAAGUCCUCUUCCUCGCCAGAAAUUGCUUUCUUAACAAGCAAGGCUCUGGUUUCCUCUGCUUGCUUCAACUUGUGCACCCUAUAGAAAUACCUACUCCAAAAACCUUCAUUAUCUACUCUAUCAGGCACUACCUCAUUAUAAAUUUCCUUAACAAACCCAUUUUCACUAACUAAUUUCUCAAUCUCCUCUUUUUUCUCUUCCAGUGAAAAAGACCCUAAUCUCCAUCUAUCAAACUCAACCUUAUCCUCUGGUUCAGUACAGUAAGUAUUUAAGUCACACUGUAUUGCACGCACUUGCAUAUCAAAACGGCUAUACCGUUUCACGCUCAAAGACUGUUGCUUACUAUGACUAUGAUGUUUAUCAGAGGAAUCUGAAUCUUCAUGAUCUGGAGCUAGAAUAGAGUCCCUACCAUGAGAGAUUAUUUGAGCAGUGGAUCUCCAAACGGUGGCUCCGAUAUCGUCGAUGGCUUGUCCGACGGUCUCCAGCGAUUCCUGGGCGACCGAAGCACCGACCUCGAAAGAAGCCGGAAGGUCCUUGACAGCACGCGAGGCUACUUCCCGGAUAACCGCCGUCUCCUUUCUGAGGCCAGAUCCGAAUUCCUCGAAAUCCUUGCGGUAGGAUUCGAUGACGGACUCUGAUGUGGUGGUCAGGGUCUUGAAGAGCCCGCCGAAGGACCAUGUGGGGUUGGCAGUAGGGCUGGGGUUGGGAUUUGAGCUCUGGGAUUGUGAGAGGGUGGUUGGAGUACCGGGCUGGGAUGUGGGUGAAUCUGGGGGAGUUGGUUCGUCUGAGAAGACGGAUUUGAAGAAAUUCAUUGGAGUAAGGAAAGGGAACUAGAAAUUGGGGGAAAUUAGUGUGAUUUCGAUAUAAUUAGGGAUUGGGAUAUAUAUACAGAGAGAGAGAGAAGGCAGCGAGUCAUGGGAAGGAU
This 1531-nucleotide unclassified non-coding RNA is filed under the name Hevea brasiliensis (rubber tree). Lineage: Eukaryota; Viridiplantae; Streptophyta; Magnoliopsida; Malpighiales; Euphorbiaceae. The record is from RNAcentral.